This 2408-nucleotide long non-coding RNA is filed under the name Marmota monax (woodchuck). The record is from RNAcentral. Lineage: Eukaryota; Metazoa; Chordata; Mammalia; Rodentia; Sciuridae.
GUUUGAGGCGCUGGGUUCUUCCUCAGCACCACAUAAAAAUAAAUAAACAAAUAAAAUAAAGGUAUUGUGUCCAACUACAAUUGAAAAAUAAAUAUUAAAAAAAAGAAUGUGCUUAUCAUCAGUGUAAUGAUAAAUCAUCAAAAGAAUGCAAAACUCUUCAGUGCUUGGGGAGGCCAAGAAUCAUUUUAAGGAAUAUCACAUCAAGAUAACAUUUCACAAACAGAAAUAAAUUAUGGGUCAAAUGAUUUCUUUAUGCAAUAUUUACAAUAGUCAUUUGAAUUUUUUUGCAAUUUUUGUGGCUCAGAAUUAAUCCCAGAGUCUUCUCUAAAGCAGAACCUCUCUAAGCCAAAAUUACUUGAAAUUUAGGAGUCAGAGAUUUGCGAUCUGCAAAUUCUAUGCACACUAUUAACUAUGUGACUGUAAACAAAUUACACAGUCUUCAGAGAGAAUGAUUUUUAUCAGUGAGGCAAUCCUUGGUAAACAACAAGCAGUAUGCACAUGUGAGACAUGAAAAUUGUUAAAAUAAUUUUUUAUGACUUUUGCCGGUAAAUGGAUGGAUCUGGAGAUUAUCAUGCUAAAUGAAAUAAGCCAAUCCCCCCAAACCAAAGGUUAAAUGUUCUCUCUAAUAUGUGGAUGCUAACACAUAACAAGUGGGUGGAGUAGAUUAGGGAAAGGUGAAUGAAAGGAAGGGAGGGUGAUGAGAACAAGAAAAACAGUAGAAUUAAUUGGGCAUAACUUUCCUAUGUUCAUAUAUGAAUAUACCACUAGUGAAACUACACAUCAUGUACAGCCACAAGAAUGGAUUCUAAUUAGAAUGUUAUACUCCAUGUAUGUAUAAUAUGUCAAAAUACAUUCUACUGUCAUGUAUAUCUAAAAAGAACAAAUAAAAGAAUUUUUGUCCCUGCAGAAGUUCCUUUCCUCCUCCUCCUCUCCCUCCAUAUCUCCCUCCCUCCCUCCCUUCUCUCCCCCACCUCCAUUCUGUCUUGCUACUACGUGACUACAGAACCUAAUAAUGGGCACCACUACAACUGCAGAGCUCUAGACAUAAUGCCUACGAAGAAGUAACUUGUCUACAGAACCAGAUGUCUCCACCUUAUUUAUAAACCUGUGUAAGAUCAUGAUGUGUAUUCCUGAAUUUUUAUUGUAAAGAGAGUAUGUUAGUAUUGAGACCGAGAACUUGUUAGGAAUUAUGGCUCUGAGUAGUUCCCAAACCUUAAGAUUUCAUAGAUCUAUAUUUCUUCUUCAGUACAAUAGGACAACUAUAGAAAAACAAUUUAUAUUUCAAAAUGUCUAGAAGAGUAUGACUUCCCAAGACAUAAAAAUGAUUAAUGUUUGAAGAGGUGGAAAUACUUAUUGCCCUGGUUUGAUCUUUAUACAGUACAUAUAUGUAUUUAAUGACCAUAAUUUACUCCAUAAACACGUACAAAUAUUAUGUGUUAAUCAAAAAUUAAACACCAAUAAAAAACAUUUCACAGCUCUAAAUACAAUUUUAAGGAAAAUGGAGGAGAACAAACAGGGUAGCCAAUUUUUCUUGUGUCCAUUAAUAUCAUUAAGAAUAAAACAAAUGAAAAUUGUUAAGUAAAAAUAAAAACAUACUAAGGUACAUUAUAAGUUAUAGAAUGCCAGAGGAUAAUCAGAUUCUAAAACUUUCCAGAGAGAAAAAACUAAAGGUUACCUGCAAAGGAAGAAGUGUCAUUGUCUUCUUGGUCUUAAGUACAAUGAAGGAUGCUAGAAUACAGGAUGCUGAGGUCUUCCCGAUUUUGAGAAUUGAUUUUUCCAAAUUAGAGCUCUAUAUCCAGCCAAGUUAUCAAACAAUUUAAGACAUUUUCUUUUCAUACAUGCAAGAACAAAACACUAAAUCUCCCUAUGUGCUUUUGUGGAAACCAUGGAGGAAAUCUUCAUUGAAACGAAGAAAUGUACCUAAUAGAGGAAAGCAUGAUAUCCAGGAAUUAUGGGAACAGGAGCCAGCAUAAGGCACUCAGUAUGAUAUACCUACCCAAACCCCAGAAAGCAGCCAGUCCUUGCAGGAGAAAAAGAAAAAUUCAGGAGGACAUCUCUAGAGGAGAGGAAAAUGGCACGGGUGGAUUAUUUGACAUAUAAUCAUUUUAAAAUAUUUGCUAGACAUUUGUUGGUGCUGUUUGAAGAGUGGGGUGAAAAACAGUAAUAAACUAAGCAAACCCAAAGUAAUACAGAUUCUUAAAUAAAUCAACAUCAUUCAGCUAUAGUUCUAUGAAUUAAAUAAUUAUAAACAACAACAAUACCGCAUUUUAGCUAAUUGAAAAGAAAUCUUAAGCGUUUCAUUCAAAGUUGUGUACUUUGUCAUGACAAAGCUGGGCUCAAAUAUCCCCUCAAUGGCCACAUAUCCUCCCCCACCCCCUUUGGUCUCAAUAAAGACUUCGAUCAUUCUA